RNAcentral lists this ribosomal RNA (494 nucleotides) under uncultured bacterium. RNAcentral's name for it is "partial 16S ribosomal RNA". It matches the Rfam family "Bacterial small subunit ribosomal RNA", at positions 28 to 507 of the family's 1533-position model. The record is from RNAcentral.
GACGAACGCUGGCGGCGUGCUUAACACAUGCAAGUCGAACGGAAAGGCCUGCUUUCCCUUGUGGAUUGCGGGUACUCGAGUGGCGAACGGGUGAGUAACACGUGAGUGAUCUGCCCCCAACUUGGGUAUAAGCCUGGGAAACUGGGUCUAAUUCCCGAUAGGACUGCAGGGUGGUGCCUGCGGUGGAAAACGAUUUUCUAGUGGUUGGGGAUGAGCUCGCGGCCUAUCAGCUUGUUGGUGGGGUAAUGGCCUACCAAGGCGGCGACGGGUAGCCGGCCUGAGAGGGUGGACGGCCACAUUGGGACUGAGAUACGGCCCAGACUCCUACGGGAGGCAGCAGUGGGGAAUAUUGCACAAUGGGCGGAAGCCUGAUGCAGCGACGCCGCGUGGGGGAUGACGGCCUUCGGGUUGUAAACUCCUUUCGACCGCGAGGAAGCCACCUGGUUGGAAGGGUGGUGACGGUAGUGGUAGAAGAAGCACCGGCUAACUACGUG